Long non-coding RNA from Ictalurus punctatus (channel catfish), 1098 nucleotides. NCBI's taxonomy places the organism in Eukaryota, Metazoa, Chordata, Actinopteri, Siluriformes, Ictaluridae. The record is from Ensembl.
CCAGCAUCAGAUUUGUAUAUCCUUCCUCAAAAUGUCCUUUUUUUUUUUUUUUUUUUUUUUUAAAUGGAACCAGCCACGUCUUCACAAGGUCCACCAUUUAUGGGGACACUUGGUCGUCGUAAACACUCGCCCACCCGUAAUGAUCAGUGGACAUGGAUGUAAAAUUAAUGCGUCGCACGGCGAAUUAUUUGUUUCAAUCUUUCUUUUUAUUCCUUUUCCCAUCAUGGUGUUGCUCUUUUGUUCCACGUCUUCACAAGGUCCACCAUUUAUGGGGACACUUGGUCGUCGUAAACACUCGCCCACCCGUAACGAUCAGUGGACAUGGAUGUAAAGUUAAUGCGUCGCACGGCGAAUUAUUUUGUUUCAAUCUUUCUUUUUAUUCCUUUUCCCAUCAUGGUGUUGCUCUUUUGUUGUGUCCUCCGUCUUGCACCUUCACCUCCCUCCUCCUUUCUCUCAUGUAUGUCAUGGCUCAGAUGAAUCAGCGUCAGCGAUGUUGAGAGCACUUACUGUCAACCCCAGCGCCCCGGGCCACGCCACUGAUGGACACAAACUAUAAAAUAUCACCCCCCUGGGGAGUCAUCGCUCAAGUCCUGCCCCACAGCCCCGAGGGUGCCACUGGAUUUGGAGUCUAUGCCUGUAACGCUGGCUGAGGGGCAGGAGUACACCUUGGAUGAGACACAUCAUGCACUGACACAUUCAUACGCAUCUAUUCACACCUUUAGAGUCCCCUGUAAACCUACCAGCAUGUUUUGGACAAUGGGAGGAAACCGGAGAACCCAGAGGAAACCUACGUGGACAUGGGGAAAACAUACAAAACUUGUCAUGAUGUUCAUGGUCGAAUAUGUUUCCAGGGCUUGGUCCUGGAGCCUAUCGCAGGGGACUUGGGGCACAAGGUGGGGGACACUCUGGACACACACUCACACACCCAUUCACACACGAUGGACAAUUUUGGAAAUGCCAAUCAGCUUACAGUGCAUGUCUUUAGACUGAGGCAGGAAACUGGAGUACCCAGAGACAACAACCGAAGCACUGGGAGAACAUGCAAACUCGAAUGCCCUACCCCAAAUAUUUUAUUCAUCAAACAAUGGCACAUCAUGC